Molecule: non-coding RNA, 86 nt
Organism: Mycena galericulata
Lineage: Eukaryota; Fungi; Basidiomycota; Agaricomycetes; Agaricales; Mycenaceae
Source: the annotation of a GenBank genome assembly
GCCUCCUUAGUCCAGUGGUUACGCCGCUGCGACUAUGACCUCUUCAAGAAAUUGAGAGGUCAAGGGUUCAAGUCCCACAGGAGGCA